AAAGACAGUUAGUUACAUUAUGUUGUAGUUAGUUAAUAGUUAAUAUAGAGGUAAAAUUUAUUUAGUAACUUAAAAUUUUAUGCUAACUGAAUUACUGAAUCUGUGAAACCCUUGAGGGAAACUGGGAUUAGAUACCCCACUAUUCUUGGGAAUAAAAGGAAAAGUUCUACCAGAGCACUACGAACAAAAUAAAGUUUAAAACUCAAAGAGCUUGGCGGUGCUUUAUACCCUUUAGGGGAACUUGUCUCUUAAUCGACAAUCCACGUAAAACCUUACCCUUUCUUGUAAGCAAUUUGUAUACCGUCGUCGUCAGGUAACUUUUAAAAAUUUAUUAGUUAGCAAAAGAAUUCUAAAUUAAUUUAAACGUCAGAUCAAGGUGCAAUUUAUGGGAGGGUUGAGAUGAGUUACAAUUAUAGUCAAUAAUAAUACGGAAAACUAAAUUGAAAUUAUUAUCUUGAAGGAGGACUUAAAAGUAAA
Molecule: ribosomal RNA, 477 nt
Filed under: Vexillum salisburyi
Lineage: Eukaryota; Metazoa; Mollusca; Gastropoda; Neogastropoda; Costellariidae
Description: partial 12S ribosomal RNA
Rfam family: Bacterial small subunit ribosomal RNA
Source: RNAcentral